RNAcentral lists this long non-coding RNA (3872 nucleotides) under Nicotiana benthamiana. Its description in RNAcentral is "long non-coding RNA (NBEN_LNC033827)". Lineage: Eukaryota; Viridiplantae; Streptophyta; Magnoliopsida; Solanales; Solanaceae. The record is from RNAcentral.
CCGCUCAUCACCAUCUCUCUUACACCCCUCAGAGACCAAAACCACGCCGCUUUAUACCGCCGCUUACCGCUCGCUGAAAAUCGCCCAUGGCGGCGGCCGGCGACCAAAUGCCACCAAAAUUAAACCGUUGCCUCUCCUCAACCCCCUCUUCCCAAAUCUCUAAUCAUUUUUCCUCAAAUCCACCCCGAAAGCCUCGAAUUUUCCAAUCCCUAGCACCACCCUGAUAUUCUCUGGUGGCGGCGGCACCACUAACCACCCCCAAAUUUACACCACAUUACCUCCUUCACCCCUUCUUCCCUAAUCCAUGACCAUCUUCCCUCAAAUCACCCCUGAACUCCUUAAAUAUCAAAUGGAAAUCAGAACCCUAAAUCCCAAAAAUGCAAAUCAACCAGUUGGACGAAGAUUUGAGCUCGGAUUGGACUUUAGUCGCAUGUUUUCAUCGAGAACACACGACUAAGGUCUAAUUAAGCCACAAAAUCUGAUUAUUCAAAGCGUUGUUCAAGGAUUUUAUUCACUUAUCUUUAGACAAUAUUUUUCUGGAACUUUUUCUUCACUUCCUUCCCUUAUUUUCUUUUUUGGUUCUUCUCUUCUUUGGUUUUGUCAAAGACCUUUCUGCAUGUGUCUCUUUAAUCCAGGCUAGUCGUUAACUGGUACUCCUAUUAGUUUUGUUUUAGUUUGUUUAAUUUUCAGAAGUUCGUUGUGAUUUAAAAGUAUUUUUGUUCAUUGUACGUUUUGUUAGUUUUCCAGAAUUGUUGUUCAUGCAUGAUUAGUUUUGCACCUUUUCUUUAAUCAGUAAAAUUAGUCCAUUAAUUAACUUAGUUUACUAAUUUAGUAAGUCUAAUUAAUGGUUUGUUUAGUCUAGGAUUUAAUUGCUGAAAUGUUUACAUUUUUCUAGUAUUUUAGAUUUUAAUUGGUUAAUUGGUUGUUUAAGGCUUGGGAUUUCUGACACAUUUAGGAAAAGAAGGCAACCUCAGUUUGGAAAUUGGACCCUUGGGUCAAAUUGACCCAUGUACGUUUGGUUUAAGGGUAAAAACAAAGGGUCUGAGGGUUAAUUUAGGAAAAUGGUAUAGGGAAUCUACGUGUUACUGCCUUAGGAAGCUUCCUAGAAGCUGAAAAAUAAAUUUGCUUGGCAAGCAGUAAAAAAUUUAGGGACCAAGCAGCAAAAAUAAAAAUUGAGAAAGGAUUGAAGGGCAAAAAUUGAACACUUUUAGGAUGCCCUAAUGCCUUGCCUAUAAAGGCAUCAUAACUUGGUUUUCAAGUCAGAUUUUUUAGAAUAAGAAUUUAGAAAAGAAAAGGACUGCUGAGAUUUUUUAAGAAUUCUGAAAAACUGCUCAAAACUCUGCUCAUUUUUAGUCUUUUACUUUCAAUUUGAUGAAUAUAAACUUUUUGAAAAUCAUAGCUUCUCAUUCUGGGAUUUGAAAUGGGUUGAAUUUGGGUUUUGGAACAAAUUUUGGUUUAAGUACUACUGGUUGGACACUGUUCUAUUGAUUUUCCUGAGCUGAUUUCACUAUGUUGAUUGAUUGAAUCUGAGGUUGUUUUCUGCAGUUGUGUAUUGCUGAUUGUUCACUUCCCUUUCCUUUUCAAUUUCCAGGUACAUGCUCUAAAACUUAUAUAAUGUGAAUGCUUGACUCGAAGGAUGAAAUGGAAAGUGGAAUCGUGAAGUUUAACAUUAGUUUGUAAUUCAUAGUUAUUCAUCUCUUUCCUUUUCUUCUGAUAUCUUUGGGCUUUGAAUGUGAAGCAAUGUUUCUUGUAUUCAGUGGGAAGUUUUGUAUCACACUUGUUUUGAUACUCAUAUAGUGUAAAAAUUAAAGUUGGUUUCUUCUAACAUUGUGCAAGACCUUGGGUGGUGUAGAACAGUAAAAGUCAUGUCACAUAUACAUGUUCAUUUAAGCUUUUCCUUUCUUAUCUUCAUUGAAUGACUGAGUCCACAUGACUGAAAAUUCGAAUGUGACUUUGAAGCCUUGGUCAUGUAUGCUGGUUUCUAUGGAAUUUUGAUGGUUUGAAUAUAAAUUAGUUGAGUUUAAGUUUGUUAGGUAAUGGAUAGUAGGAAAGUCGUGCAAAAGGGGAAAACCGUCAAGAUUGCUUUUAGGAAUAAUGACUUUGUUAUUAGCUUAAUUUUGGUUAUGCAUGACUAUCAGGGUGUUUAGCUAUGUUAAUUUGCGGUGAUUAGGUAAGAAUUGAAAGUGUUUAGCUAUAUUAAUUUUUAUGGAUAAGUUUAUAAAAUUUGAGCUCAAGUUAGACCAAUAGAAAGUAUCCUUCUUCGGGCUCGUCUUGUGCAUCUUGAGUUUCUAAUGUCAUUUUUCGCCUUGGGCCUAAGGUGGAAAGGAGUGGUAAGAACUGGGAUUACAUAUGGGAUUUUUACAUAUACAUCCCAUAUAGCAAACCUUAUAACCACUCAUGUUUAAGGUUAGUAUUUAUUACAUUUAAGUAUACCACCUUUCAAUUUAUAUACCAAAAUUUAUUUUUAAGGUUUAAGGAUCAACUAUUAAUUAGAGGCUUGAUUUGUGGAACAAAAACUUUUCAUAUUUUUUUUUAUACGUUUUUCUCUUUCUUCCAACCAAAACCGAUGCAUUUCUCCCCUUUUUUAAUUACACCCCCCNNNNNNNNNNNNNNNNNNNNNNNNNNNNNNNNNNNNNNNNNNNNNNNNNNNNNNNNNNNNNNNNNNNNNNNNNCCCCUUUUUUAAUUCCCCCCCCCCCCCCCACGUUUAUUUACCAAGACAGUAUUCUUUGAUUUCUCUGGUUUAAUUUCAUCCUCCAUUGUCAUCCUCCAUUGUCGAAGUCCAUUGUCGAAGGUUGCCAUUGUUUCAGAUCAAGAGUUUCAUCCGCCAUAUUUUCAUUCCUACGGUUGCAUCAAGGUCCCAAACUCUCUACAAAACAAUUUUCUCUCUCUCAAUGCUUCAAUUUCAUCCGCCAUUUCCGAACCCUCUUCAAAAUUUUCUCAAGAAAACACAUAUUCAGUCACUGUGUUGUAGUUUUCUCAAUUUCAUCCGCCACAUNNNNNNNNNNNNNNNNNNNNNNNNNNNNNNNNNNNNNNNNNNNNNNNNNNNNNNNNNNNNNNNNNNNNNNNNNNNNNNNNNNNNUUCUCCUCAAUGUGUUGUAGUUUAAUAUUUUUUGCCAAAAAAUAGAAUGCAAGUGUUUGUUUGGUGUUUAAGUAUUUUUUGUCUAAAUGUACUGUAUUAUUGCAUACUAGGGUUGUUUAUACAAAUUGUAGUUCAUCGUAGUUUUUUGGAGUUAAUUUGUAGUUAAUUGGCAAAAUGUACUGUUGAAUCAAAUAUGUAGUUAAUUGUAGUGUUUGUAGUUUAAUGUAGUUCAAUGUACUUUUUAUUUGGAAGUGUGACUGUUGACUCAAAUUUGUAGUUAAUUAUAGUUUUUGUAGUUUAAUGUAGUUUACUGUACUUUUUAUGUGGAACUGUGAUAAAAACGUUAACUACAUUUACCCACAUUUGGCUACAUUCUAAAAACACACUGGAAACACUGCAUAUAAACGUUAACUAUAUUUACCCACAUUUGACUACAUUCUAAAAACACACUGGAAACACUGCAUAUAAACGUUAACUACAUUUACUCACAUUUGACUAUAUUUUAAAAACACACUGGAAACACUGCAACAGCUACUGUAUUUUUUUGUUCCUUUUUCCUGCACCAAACAAGAAUAUAUCCGAGGUGCAACGGAGGACAAUUAUCUGCAACGGAUGACAAUUAUCAUUCACAAUGUAUUUUAUUUCUACAAUUUUAUCCGAUGUAUCAAUCGAUAAUUGUUCUGCAAUUGUAGACUGGAGAAUUCCGCAGCUUGCAUUAUCAUCAACCAAAAUGGAAUCAACUUCAAAAUCUCGGAAUCUGCCAUAUUUAUCCCAAUAACCAUUACAUUUCAG